Molecule: long non-coding RNA, 1170 nt
Organism: Pogoniulus pusillus (Red-fronted tinkerbird)
Lineage: Eukaryota; Metazoa; Chordata; Aves; Piciformes; Lybiidae
Exons: 4
Source: RefSeq, a predicted model, not a curated record
CAGCACCCCUCUUUUGCUGUCAUUGACAUUUAAACUGUGUGGCAGGUUCUUGCGUGGAAAUUGGCGACUGGAAUCUCCAGGUACCUCCUCCUGGCCGCGGGACCGCCGUGCCCAGGCCCUACGCUCCCGCUGACAGGAUGCGUGCGGCGGAACGCCCGGCCUCCGCCACCGGCAACUAGGAGGGGCUCGCCGGGACCCAGCCUGGAGGAGAUACAAGCGGGACAGCGGAAUCCAAGAUCACACAACCAGCAGCUUCAGUGGAGAAAAACUAUUUUGCUGGCAACUCUUUUUAAAGCACCAUCAUUUCAAAUCAGUGCGCUCUUAAACUAUUGACAGGAGCUUUGACAACAAGACAGGAUGCCUCAUAAAGAGCUUCCCCGGGAACUUUCCAGCCUAGGAGCUCACAAACUUUCUGCCUUUCACAUGAGCCCGUGUCCUCUCGAAAAGCUAAAGCAUCUGACUCGGAAACCAAUGCCAACACCAGCAGCAGUAAUUCCCACGCAGCAUUUGCCGGACAGGGAGACCGUAAGCGCCGGUGUGUGUAUUGCCGAUGCUGCCGGUACACCAGCUCGUAGAGACGGCGAGGCCGGACUCUGGGCCGGGUCGAGGCCAUGCUCAUAGCCCGGGGCUGCCGUCCCGGACGGCCACGGCCCAACCUGGGCUCCGGCCCCACGCCACACCGCGUGGGAAGGAGGGAGGGACGGAGGGAAGGAAACGGUGCCUUGCUGCCCCAGGGCCGGCCCCGUCCGCGGCUUCUGCUUUGUGUUCCUGCGCUCUCGGUUAGAAAACGAUCACCCGCGAUGGUGGGGGGAAAGAAGGAACAAGCAGCAGGGAGAGUUGCGCUGAGGGGAUAAAAAAAUAAAAGCAAAAAUAAUAAAUCACAUCCUAGGCCAAGUCAGCUCCCAGGCGCGGUACAGGCGGGGAGCUGAGCGGAGUUGAAGGGCUGUCAGCUUUAAUCAGCCACCCGAGGAUCUUCCCAACUUGUCCCCAGUGCCGGCAACUUUCCCAGCUCCAGCGCGGGAGAAGCGCCGGGGGCGCGGAUCUUCCUGCACCGCUUUCCGCGGGCCCCAUCGGCCGCCCCCGCACCGCCCCACCCCUCCUCGGCACCGGGGCGCGCCGUAUCCUCUUAGGGAAUAUUUUUUGCCUUUUAAAAUACACGUUUUCGAAAUA